Molecule: ribosomal RNA, 403 nt
Filed under: uncultured bacterium
Lineage: Bacteria
Description: partial 16S ribosomal RNA
Rfam family: Bacterial small subunit ribosomal RNA
Source: RNAcentral
GACGAACGCUGGCGGCGUGCCUAAUACAUGCAAGUCGAACGCAGUGGGGACGGGUGAUUAACACGUGGGUAACCUCCCAUCAGAGGGGAUAACACUUGGAAACAGGUGCUAAACCGAUACUGAUGGAUGGACCCGCGGUGCAUUAGCUAGUGGGUGGGGUAACGGCUCACCAAGGCCACGAUGCAUAGCCGGUCUGGAAGGUGGAUCGGCCACACUGGCACGUAGGCACGGCCCAGAAUCCGACGGGAGGCAGCAGUAGGGAAUCUUCGGCAAUGGACGAAAGUCUGACCGAGCAACGCCGCGUGAGUGAAGAAGGUUUUCGGAUCGUAAAACUCUGUUGUUAGAGAAGCGGUAUCUAACCAGAAAGCCACGGCUAACUACGUGCCAGCAGCCGCGGUAAUAC